GUGCACCAGUCGCGAAACCUUCGCAAUGCGGGAAACCGCGACGAGGGGACUCCCAGUGCCUACGCUCAGCGUAGGCUGUUCCCGAGCCUAGAAAGCUCGGGGAGUAAGGGCUGGGUAAGACGGGUGCCAGCCGCCGCGGUAAUACCCGCAGCCCGAGUGGUGGCCACUAUUAUUGGGCCUAAAGCGUCCGUAGCCGGCCCGGUAAAUGCCUGGGUAAAUCGUGAGGCCUAACCUCACGAAUUCCGGGUAGACUGCCGGGCUAGGGACCGGAGGAGGGAGAGGGGUACUCCAGGGGUAGGGGUGAAAUCCUGUAAUCCCUGGAGGACCACCGGUGGCGAAGGCGCUCUCCUAGGACGGGUCCGACGGUGAGGGACGAAAGCCAGGGGAGCGAACCGGAUUAGAUA
RNAcentral lists this ribosomal RNA (404 nucleotides) under uncultured microorganism. Its description in RNAcentral is "bacterial SSU rRNA". It matches the Rfam family "Archaeal small subunit ribosomal RNA", at positions 330 to 735 of the family's 1478-position model. The record is from RNAcentral.